UACACACCGCCCGUCACACCAUGGGAGUUGGCUUUACCCGAAGGCGGUGCACUAACCUUGCAAGAGGGAGUAGCCGACCACGGUAAGGUCAGCGACUGGGGUG
Molecule: ribosomal RNA, 103 nt
Filed under: uncultured bacterium
Lineage: Bacteria
Description: partial 16S ribosomal RNA
Rfam family: Bacterial small subunit ribosomal RNA
Source: RNAcentral